Molecule: long non-coding RNA, 1759 nt
Organism: Anguilla rostrata (American eel)
Lineage: Eukaryota; Metazoa; Chordata; Actinopteri; Anguilliformes; Anguillidae
Exons: 2
Source: RefSeq, a predicted model, not a curated record
UGUUGAUCUGCCGGAGACGAGAAGCACAUCAGUUAGCCCGCCAAACCGCCUUCGGACCGACCGUACCGUCGGGCGAAAUGAAAGUGCGCGUUUUGCGUAGCUACUUACGUUGUCGAGACCGAAACUCUGCAGGUCGUGAACUGCAAAGAAACACAAGCCGUUUCAGUGACGAUGUCAAUGGUCAUUCACGGAUCUGUGCUUUCAGGAGUUCAGGAGCAACGAAAGCAAACGUCACGUUUAGUUUUUUUUUGUCCAUUGCGAAACGAUAUCGCUGUCGAAUUAAAAACGCAAACUGUGCCGUCGGGCUGAAUUGAAAUUGGGUGCAAGUGGUGCAGAGAGAAUAGGAUUUGCCAAGUGUGAAACAGUAGAAAGAGGGUUUUAGUGCUUUUGAUUUGUGCUUCUUCACCAAAUAAAUGUGAACUGCAGGUGAAAUCAAACAGUCACAAGCUGAUUAUUUUGCUAAAGACAAAUUUUAAAAGCAACAGAAUGCUCAAACAGUUUAGUGGUGUCUUUUUCACAGUUAAGUAACAGGGUAAAUGCAGACUUGGUCAGAAUGGCAUUAAAUAAUUAAGUACUUUUUGAGUUUUAUUUUUUUGAAGUGACUGACAAUAAUUUGCGGGGGAUAUUAUGGGUUUUUACAAAUAAUUCUUUUAAAAAUGGGAAAAAAAUAGAUCAACUUACUUUCCACAGCGUGCACUGCGGAAAGAAGAGAAAUAAGGUCACUAUGAGGCGCACGGCAUGGGGAAAACAGAAACCCCCCGCCCAGGAGCACAGUGGGUCAGUCCUGUUUUUACUGAGAAUCCCACUGCAAAGGAUCCGCCAUCAUGGCCUGUUCCAAUGCAGAGCUGGGGGGGGGGGGGGGCUCAGUAAAAUCAGGUCUCUUUAUGUCUUCAAGGGCAGCGGGAAGUUUAAGGGGGGCAGAGUGGGGGGGGGUCCAGAUUAAAGCUGUGGAAACAGACCAUUCCCCUGUUAGCUUUUUGGCAGUCUGCACAAGGCUAGCUUCUCAGAAGAACGGGGAGGUCACCACACACUGGUUAAGCCAGCGUCCGCUCAGACCACGACGGGUAUGAUGGGUCCACCAGGCUACUGAGUCCGAACUGCAACUCUGUACACUUCGGUGCUUUUGCAGACCAGUUGCUCACUUCAAGCCUUCAGCUUGCAACAGAGUGGACUGUGUAUACCUUGUUACUUAAUUCAACAUUGAUUUGAGUGACCCUAAUGAUUAUCUGCAGCAGCCCUUUAAAAAGAAAAGAAAAAAAGAAACCGCACCGUCACAUCACAGAGCAGAUUCACAAAUGAGUAACUCGGCUGGAAGUGGAAUCGGAUCUGAGGAUUUGUGAAUAGGAUUCAACUUCACUUCUGUCUCUAAUUCUGGGGCCCCCAGCCCUGGCCCAGGAGAGCCGCAGGUACUGCUGGGUUUUACUUCCACAUUAAAAUCAGACAAACCAAGCCUUAAUACAAAGUUGUCCUCCUUUGUGAAUCUGCCACUAAGUGACUCAUUUACUGAGGCCAGUCAGCAUUGUAACAGAUUGUAGAUUUUAGCCUCUUGUGUUUAAAAGCAGGUAGCUACAAGCUUAAAUAUAAACACAGUGUUAGGUAGCCCUUUAACUUUAGUGUUGUGUGACGGAAACAUGCAGGAGAAUCGUUUAUUGCACCCUAUUAAUUUGCGGCGCUGGAAUCUACCACAAUCUGAUUGGACGAACAGCAGAAUGUUAGAGAAGCGGAUAGGAAGAAGGGUUAAAUAAGAUUCCUGGGUACU